UCCGCAGGCGGGAAUUCAGGUCAGAUGUGAAAGCCCGGGGCUCAACCCCGGAACUGCAUUUGAAACCGGAUUCCUUGAGUACGGGAGAGGGAAGCGGAAUUCCUGGUGUAUAGGUGAAAUUCGUAGAUAUCAGGAGGAACACCAGCGGCGAAAGCGGCUUCCUGGCCCGAUACUGACGCUCAUGGACGAAAGCGUGGGGAGCAAACA
Molecule: ribosomal RNA, 207 nt
Filed under: uncultured bacterium
Lineage: Bacteria
Description: partial 16S ribosomal RNA
Rfam family: Bacterial small subunit ribosomal RNA
Source: RNAcentral